UGCCCUUGUGUUGCCCAUUCACUUUGCAGCUAGUGAAUGUGGUGUCAAAAAGGGCAAACAGUAAAGUCAUUGCAGAGUGUCUGAUGAGCUUUGGAAACUUUCAGAAGCUGUUACUCCUCUCUUUGAAACACUU
Protopterus annectens (West African lungfish) is the source of this 133-nucleotide small nucleolar RNA. RefSeq annotates it as small nucleolar RNA SNORA13. NCBI's taxonomy places the organism in Eukaryota, Metazoa, Chordata, Ceratodontiformes, Protopteridae. The transcript has a single exon. The record is from RefSeq and is a predicted model, not a curated record.